Streptomyces autolyticus is the source of this 75-nucleotide non-coding RNA. The record is from Rfam. Lineage: Bacteria; Bacillati; Actinomycetota; Actinomycetes; Kitasatosporales; Streptomycetaceae.
CUUGAUGGAGCCGAUGAGCAGCGGUUUGCCCUCGGGCCUGUCCUGGCCGUAGGUGGCCAGCAGCGCCUGUGCCUC